This 242-nucleotide ribosomal RNA is filed under the name uncultured bacterium. RNAcentral describes it as "partial 16S ribosomal RNA". It matches the Rfam family "Bacterial small subunit ribosomal RNA", at positions 77 to 334 of the family's 1533-position model. The record is from RNAcentral.
UUUACUACUUGGCGGCGAGCGGCGGACGGCUGAGUAACGCGUGGGAACAUGCCCCAAAGUGAGGGAUAACUGCCCGAAAGGGUAGCUAAUACCGCAUAUGAUCUUCGGAUUAAAGGAUUUAUCCGCUUUGGGAGUGGCCCGCGUCGGAUUAGGUAGUUGGUGAGGUAAUGGCUCACCAAGCCGACGAUCCGUAGCUGGUCUGAGAGGAUGAUCAGCCAGACUGGGACUGAGACACGGCCCAG